This 253-nucleotide ribosomal RNA is filed under the name uncultured bacterium. Its description in RNAcentral is "partial 16S ribosomal RNA". It matches the Rfam family "Bacterial small subunit ribosomal RNA", at positions 524 to 776 of the family's 1533-position model. The record is from RNAcentral.
UACAGAGGUCUCAAGCGUUAAUCGGAAUUACUGGGCGUAAAGCGUACGCAGGCGGCUGCGCAAGACAGAUGUGAAAUCCCCGGGCCUAACCUGGGAACUGCAUUUGUGACUGCGCAGCUCGAGUCCGUCAGAGGGGGGUGGAAUUCCACGUGUAGCAGUGAAAUGCGUAGAGAUGUGGAGGAACACCGAUGGCGAAGGCAGCCCCCUGGGAUGAGACUGACGCUCAGGUACGAAAGCGUGGGGAGCAAACAGG